AGGAAUCAGGGAAGAUUAAAAGCUGAGCAGAAUGUAAUAUCUCUGAAUUACCUUCUGACCUUUUUGAGGCUGCAACCACUGGCUCAGAACCCACUUCUGGAAUCUACUCUAAAGAGCAAUUGACCAACAACUGCUGCCAAGUUUCCGAGUGCACUCACAUGAUUCUGGAAGUGGCAGUUUCAAGCAGCUGUGAUGAGGUGGUGAGCAGUGAGUUGCUCCUCACUCAUGCAGUGGGCCCUGGAAUGAAGAGGAGGAAAGCAGACCUGGAGAUAAAUAAAAUUCAAGAUACCUCAGGCUCUCAGCAAGUCACAAGAAAACAAGAAAACAUGAUGCUGUCUGAGCAAUUGGUACAGGAAGCCUGGACACAUUGCUGAGGAAAUCAGAACUUCUUUGCAAAAGAUGGUGACAAUCUGUGGCCAAGAUGCUGCCGGGAGAUGAUUACAGGCACAGGAGAGGAGUUUCAGGCAGUUCCACUAAGAAAGUUCCCAUCUCAAGAGGAUGCUGUUUGAUUUCUUGUUAUUCACCAUCCGUGUGAUCCAUGGGGGGAAGAAAAGGUAUUAAAGAAGAGAAGCAUAUUAAUGUUAUUACUCCUUUCUAACUUUACAGAGUGGCUACUCUUUUAAAUUCUUUUGAGACAAACACCUGAAAGAAAAUGUUGAUAUGUGAGAUAAGCAAUAAGCAGUGUUUGAAUACAUGCAUAUGUUAAAGGACACCAUUAAAAUUAAAAAUAACUCUAGAAAGGAAACAAAG
This 750-nucleotide long non-coding RNA is filed under the name Homo sapiens (human). Its description in RNAcentral is "HSALNT0119896". The record is from RNAcentral. Lineage: Eukaryota; Metazoa; Chordata; Mammalia; Primates; Hominidae.